This 1713-nucleotide long non-coding RNA is filed under the name Onthophagus taurus. RNAcentral's name for it is "uncharacterized LOC111421556, transcript variant X2". The record is from RNAcentral. Lineage: Eukaryota; Metazoa; Arthropoda; Insecta; Coleoptera; Scarabaeidae.
GCGACGGCGGUCUCUUUGAUGUUGAAGGGUUCAAAUUUGUGGCCUACUGACCUACUUACGAUGCGUCCGCCAUCUUACUGGUUGGAAUAUUAAAUGUGCGAAUUUUAAAGCACGUUUAUUUUUCGUGAAAUAAUAGGCAAAUUGUAUAUAUAUUUUCUUUUGGAGUUUUAAUAAUUGCACUUUAAUAAAUUAGGAAAAUUUAUUUUGAGCACAAUCGGAUUCAUCGAACAUAAGUGAGGUUAAGUUAAAGGGAAUUGUAAACAAUAACACCAACCUAUAAGAUGGCGACGCCAGAAAAAUCAAUUAAGGCGGGAUACCCCCAGUGUCCUUUCUGGUUAUUCUGUGCUGGAGUGACAUCUGGACGCCAUUCUGGUUUGCAUUCAAAGCAAUUCAAAGAAGAGUUGAUCUCCAAGAAGUUUCUUUUGUGGUUUUUUCAUAAACAGCGCUGUAGAAAUGUCCGAACAUUGCAUAUGGAAUGUCUCUUGUAACGUGUACGUGAAAACUUCCGUCAAUCGUCAUCGAAAAAAACAAAAAAGAGGUAGAUUUUAAAUUCUGCAUUUCCAAGAUGAUUAAGAACAAGAUGUUGGCAUGGAUGAGGAUGGCGCACCACCAUACUAUGCCCUUCCUGUUUGAGUUUAUUUAAACCAAUUAUUUUCUAAUGGAUGGAAUGGGAGAAGUGACCCGAUUGAUUGGACUGCGAUAUCACCAGAUUUGGCUCUGCCGGACUUCUUCCUUUAAGGACCAAACCAAAUUUUACACCACUGGACCAAACACUUCGGAUGAACAAAAAAUCAGAAUCAGAAGUUUAGCAAAUAAUUCUUGAUACCUUAGAGAAUUGUCAAGAAGAAUUUAAAAAUCGUUUAGGAGCUGCCCAAGGUGAGGUCUUUAAAAGUAUAGAUAGUACCGAUUUGUCUCAAUUGUGCACUAGUUAACGGUGCACUGAAAUUAAAAACACCUUCAAGAAAGUUAUUUUAAUUAGCAAUGUAAUGACACCAACUAUGGUUUUCUUGAAGUCUAACUUUUGAAGACAAUUCCUCAGUUUAACAGUUUGAGUAUGAAUUAGUCUUUGAAUUUGAAGAUGGUCAAUCAUUGUGCAACUAAAAUGGGGCUAUUACGUUAAUAGUAAAUAUUUUGUCUGAUGUUUCAUGGAACUUCCUUCAGUAGGUUUACAAAUUAAUUACGAAAAAGGAAAAUUGAUGCUGAACGUGCCUUUCCACUGUCACAUGUGGGUUGAUAUCAGACCAACAUAAAUUUGUAUAUUAUUUCCACAAUAUGCUGCUGAGAUAAAUUAAUGAUUUCAUAUUUGUGAUAUGUAGUUAGGAACCAGCCUUUUAUGGCUGUGCUAUGGAUUAGGUAGACAAGUGUUCUACAAAGAAUAAUUGCCACAGAGCUUAAGAAUAAUUCUUUGUGGAAUGCAUGUGUACGUGCCAUCUGUACAUUUUGGGAUCUGCUUUUAUGAUAUUUUUUUUGUUAAAGUUCCCAAAAUGUAACUCUUCCUUAUAACUCUGCUUAUUUUCUGUGUACUGGAUAUUAUGUAACUGUUCAAACAGUUAUUUUCAGUCAUUCAAACGUGUGUAUAAGUAACAUUUUUAAAAUUAUAACCAAGAACUCAAAUAUUAAUAAUAUAAGUCUCACCCAAUGUUCUGAAUUUUAAGAAUAUUAUGAUGCUAUAGUAGAAACUAGCGCUCGGAAUUUUACAAAUUUAAGUAUUCG